AUGACCAAGCAUGGGAAAUUCCCUUCGGUCAUGGAGACGAUCUAUGAAGUGCCACAUCAUAUGGGCCUCCAACAACAAGAUGGCGACAUGACGGUUGAGCUAGGGCCAUCCUCUUCGACAAUGGCGACGAGCAUGAACCUCUUCAACAACAUGAAGAUGGCACCCAUAUUGGACUCAUACUCCGAGUCAAGCUACGAGACCGCACAUGAGACCUUAUCUUUGGUCUUAGAGGAGAGUGAUGAUGUGCCAUCCUCGGCCUUCAUCCAUGGCUACAACUAUGACAUGAUUGAGCAUGGAGACAUUUGCACCAACAUCUCUCUGACCACCAUAGAUGACAUUGAGUGCAUUUCCUAUGAGAGGAUGAGUGUGACCACCACUAGCCCCAUACAUGAGAGCAUGCCACACAUCCUAUGUGAGUUUGAGAGCCAUUUGAGUGACUCCACCAACCAUAUGAGUGAGAGCAUCAUACCGGGAGUGAGUGAGCCACAACACUUAGUGAGGUAG
RNAcentral lists this ribosomal RNA (504 nucleotides) under Triticum aestivum (bread wheat). Its description in RNAcentral is "partial small subunit ribosomal RNA". The record is from RNAcentral. Lineage: Eukaryota; Viridiplantae; Streptophyta; Magnoliopsida; Poales; Poaceae.